GAUGAACGCUGGCGGCGUGCUUAACACAUGCAAGUCGAACGGAAAGGCCCUUGCCUGCUGGGGUGCUCGAGUGGCGAACGGGUGAGUAACACGUGGGUGACCUGCCCUGUACUUCGGGAUAACUUCGGGAAACUGGGGCUAAUACCGGAUAUGACCAUCUCCUGGAUGGGGGGGUGGAGAGCUUUUGCGGUUGGGGAUGAGCUCGCGGCCUAUCAGCUUGUUGGUGGGGGAUUGGCCUACCAAGGCGUUGACGGGUAGCCGGCCUGAGAGGGUGUACGGCCACAUUGGGACUGAGAUACGGCCCAGACUCCUACGGGAGGCAGCAGUGGGGAAUAUUGCACAAUGGGCGGAAGCCUGAUGCAGCAACGCCGCGUGGGGGAUGACGGCCUUCGGGUUGUAAACUCCUUUCGCAUCCGACGAAGCGUUUGUGACGGUAAGUGGUGAAGAAGCACCGGCUAACUACGUG
This 466-nucleotide ribosomal RNA is filed under the name uncultured bacterium. RNAcentral's name for it is "partial 16S ribosomal RNA". It matches the Rfam family "Bacterial small subunit ribosomal RNA", at positions 28 to 507 of the family's 1533-position model. The record is from RNAcentral.